GCAGCUCGACGAGAGAGCACCUGCUUGGCGUGCAGAAGGACCUGGGUUCAAUCCCCAGCAGCACCU
This is a non-coding RNA of Podarcis lilfordi (Lilford's wall lizard), 66 nucleotides long. The record is from the annotation of a GenBank genome assembly. NCBI's taxonomy places the organism in Eukaryota, Metazoa, Chordata, Lepidosauria, Squamata, Lacertidae.